UACCAGCACCCCGAGUGGUCGGGACGAUUAUUGGGCCUAAAGCAUCCGUAGCCGGUUCUACAAGUCUUCCGUUAAAUCCACCUGCUCAACAGAUGGGCUGCGGAGGAUACUAUAGAGCUAGGAGGCGGGAGAGGCAAGCGGUACUUAGUGGGUAGGGGUAAAAUCCGUUGACCCAUUGAAGACCACCAGUGGCGAAGGCGGCUUGCCAGAACGCACUCGACGGUGAGGGAUGAAAGCUGGGGGAGCAAACCGG
Molecule: ribosomal RNA, 253 nt
Filed under: uncultured bacterium
Lineage: Bacteria
Description: partial 16S ribosomal RNA
Rfam family: Archaeal small subunit ribosomal RNA
Source: RNAcentral